GCUGGUSUAGCUUAAUACAAAGCAUAGCACUGAAGAUGCUAAGAUGGACCCUAACAAGUCCCACAAGCA
This 69-nucleotide transfer RNA is filed under the name Atractosteus tristoechus (Cuban gar). Its description in RNAcentral is "tRNA-Phe". It matches the Rfam family "tRNA". From Rfam's summary of the family: Transfer RNA (tRNA) molecules are approximately 80 nucleotides in length. Their secondary structure includes four short double-helical elements and three loops (D, anti-codon, and T loops). The record is from RNAcentral. Lineage: Eukaryota; Metazoa; Chordata; Actinopteri; Semionotiformes; Lepisosteidae.